UACGGGGGGGGCAAGCGUUGUUCGGAAUUACUGGGCGUAAAGGGCUCGUAGGCGGCCAACUAAGUCAGACGUGAAAUCCCUCAGCUUAACUGGGGAACUGCGUCCGAUACUGGAUGGCUUGGAUUUGGGAGAGGGAUGCGGAAUUCCAGGUGUAGCGGUGAAAUGCGUAGAUAUCGGGAGGAACACCAGUGGCGAAGGCGGCUUCCUGGCCUGUUCUUGACGCUGAGGCGCGAAAGCUAGGGGAGCAAACGGG
RNAcentral lists this ribosomal RNA (253 nucleotides) under uncultured bacterium. RNAcentral describes it as "partial 16S ribosomal RNA". It matches the Rfam family "Bacterial small subunit ribosomal RNA", at positions 524 to 776 of the family's 1533-position model. The record is from RNAcentral.